RNAcentral lists this ribosomal RNA (366 nucleotides) under uncultured Comamonadaceae bacterium. RNAcentral describes it as "bacterial SSU rRNA". It matches the Rfam family "Bacterial small subunit ribosomal RNA", at positions 168 to 529 of the family's 1533-position model. Lineage: Bacteria; Pseudomonadati; Pseudomonadota; Betaproteobacteria; Burkholderiales; Comamonadaceae. The record is from RNAcentral.
ACCGCAUACGAUCUACGGAUGAAAGCGGGGGAUCUUCGGACCUCGCGCGGACGGACCGGCCGAUGGCAGAUUAGGUAGUUGGUGGGGUAAAGGCUCACCAAGCCGACGAUCUGUAGCUGGUCUGAGAGGAUGAUCAGCCACACUGGGACUGAGACACGGCCCAGACUCCUACGGGAGGCAGCAGUGGGGAAUUUUGGACAAUGGGGGCAACCCUGAUCCAGCCAUGCCGCGUGCAGGAUGAAGGCCUUCGGGUUGUAAACUGCUUUUGUACGGAACGAAAAGCUCUCCUCUAAUAAAGGGGGGUCAUGACGGUACCGUAAGAAUAAGCACCGGCUAACUACGUGCCAGCAGCCGCGGUAAUACGUA